RNAcentral lists this transfer RNA (74 nucleotides) under Minisyncoccota bacterium. Its description in RNAcentral is "tRNA-Val". It matches the Rfam family "tRNA". From Rfam's summary of the family: Transfer RNA (tRNA) molecules are approximately 80 nucleotides in length. Their secondary structure includes four short double-helical elements and three loops (D, anti-codon, and T loops). Lineage: Bacteria; Bacillati; Minisyncoccota. The record is from RNAcentral.
GGACGAUUAGCUCAGUUGGUUAGAGCGCACGAUUCACAUUCGUGAGGUCACUGGUCCGAGCCCAGUAUCGUCCA